GAAAGUAAAGAAGGGCGCAUGGCGGAUGCCUUGGCUCUCGGAGGCGAUGAAGGACGUGAUAAGCUGCGAUAAGCUUUGGGGAGGUGCAAAUGACCUUUGAUCCAGAGAUUUCCGAAUGGGACAACCCAAUAUCUUGAAGAGGUAUUAUCCAACGUUGUUGGAGGCUAACGCAGGGAACUGAAACAUCUUAGUACCUGCAGGAAAAGAAAAUAAACAAUGAUUCCCCCAGUAGUGGCGAGCGAACGGGGAACAGCCCAAACCAUCCAUGUUACGGCAUGGGUGGGGUUGUAGGACUACGCCGUUGCAUGAAGACAUCAGAGAAGAACUUUCUGGAAAGAAAGACCAUAGAGCAUGACAGUUGCGUAUUCGAAUGUUGUCGAAGCAUAGUAGUAUCCUGAGUAGCGCGGAGCACGAGGAAUUCUGCGUGAAUCUGCCGGGACCAUCCGGUAAGGCUAAAUACUCCCGAGAGACCGAUAGCGAACCAGUACCGUGAGGGAAAGGUGAAAAGCACUUCGAACAGAAGAGUGAAAUAGUUCCUGAAACCGUGCGCCUACAAGCGGUCGGAGCUCGUUAAUGAGUGACGGCGUGCCUUUUGCAUAAUGAACCUACGAGUUGCCUUUGCCGGCAAGGUUAAGUGUGACGACACACGUAUCCGAAGCGAAAGCGAGUCUGAACAGGGCGUAUAGUCGGCAGUGGCAGACGCGAAACCAAGUGAUCUACCCUUGGCCAGGUUGAAGGCUGGGUAACACCAGCUGGAGGACCGCACCAAUAAGCGUUGAAAAGCUUCUGGAUGAGCUGAGGGUAGGGGUGAAAGGCUAAUCAAACUUGGAGAUAGCUCGUACUCCCCGAAAUGCAUUUAGGUGCAGCCUUGCGGGUUACUGAUGUGAGGUAGAGCGACUGAUAAGAUGCGAGGGCUUCACCGCCUAUCAAGUCUUGACAAACUCCGAAUGCGCAUCAGUUCUACCGCAGGAGUGAGGGCAUGGGUGCUAAGGUCCGUGCCCGAGAGGAGAAGAAUCCGGACCACCUGCUAAGGUCCCGAAAUGACAGCUAAGUUAAACUAACGAAGUCUGACUGCUAAGACAGCUAGGAUGUUGGCUUGGAAGCAGCCAUUCAUUUAAAGAGUGCGUAACAGCUCACUAGUCGAGGAGUCGGGCGUGGAUAAUAAUCGGGUAUCAAGUUGUCUACCGAAGCAGUGGGAUCAUUAAUAUGAUCGGUAGGGGAGCAUUCCAGUCAGCGUCGAAGGCGUACCGUGAGGUAUUCUGGAGCGUCUGGAAAAGCAAAUGUAGGUAUAAGUAACGAUAAAGGGGGCGGGAAACCCCCUCGCCGAAAGACUAAGGUUUCCUGAUCAACGCUAAUCGGAUCAGGGUCAGUCGGGUCCUAAGGCUCAGCCGAACGGCGAUGCCGAUGGCAGAAACGGUUAAUAUUCCGUUACUACCUUCAGGAGUGACGUGGAGACGCAGUAGUGACAGUGCCGCCAUCUGACGGAAUAGAUGGUUGAAGGGUGUAGGAGUCGAUCAUGGCAGGCAAAUCCACCAUGAGAUCCGAACCUGACAGUAUGCCGCGUCCUUCGGGACAAGGCAAUAGUGCGCGUAAGCAUGCUGCCGAGAAAAUCCGCUAAACUUAAUCCUGCAGGUACCCGUACCGCAAACGGACACACGUAGUCGGGAUGAAUAUUCUAAGGCGCUUGAGUGAUUCACGGUUAAGGAACUAGGCAAACUGACCCUGUAACUUCGGGAUAAAGGGUCCCUACCCUUUUAUGGGAGGGCGCAGAGAAUCGGUCCAGGCAACUGUUUAACAAAAACACAGGGCUGUGCCAAAUCGAAAGAUCCAGUAUACAGCCUGACACCUGCCCGGUGCUGGAAGGUUAAGAGGAGAUGUCAUCGAUAAGAGAAGCGUUGAAUUGAAGCCCCAGUAAACGGCGGCCGUAACUAUAACGGUCCUAAGGUAGCGAAAUUCCUUGUCGGGUAAGUUC
Molecule: ribosomal RNA, 1972 nt
Filed under: human gut metagenome
Description: bacterial LSU rRNA
Rfam family: Bacterial large subunit ribosomal RNA
Source: RNAcentral